UAAAACUAUAAUCAUUAACUGCCUUUCCUUUAUUGAACUCUAGAGCUUUGGCUUUAUAAUUCUAUUUGGCCUGUAUAUGCAGGAAGAGUAUUGAAAUGGUCUAUAUUUAUUUCUUCUCUCUGACAUAGAUGGAAACAGUCAGAGUGACUCUACACACUUCCUGCUUCCACGUUUAGCAUCCCCAAGUGAAGAGAUAUGAAGAGUGUUCAAAAGAUGCUACAAAAUGUUUAGUUUUCAACUCUCCAGAGGAAGCUGACAUGGCAACACUCUGUUAUUUGAAGAUUUGAGUUUUCCUACUACAAGGAAGAAGUUGUAACUUCUGACUUAGUAUGAGGUUCAAGCCAGAUGGAUCAUGUGAUGCAGUCUUGUCAAUGAAAACAGGAAGACAUUUCUCAAGAUUAGAAUGGUCCUGGAACAAAAAAUUGCCUUACCAAGUAAUCAGUGCCUACUAUUGGAUGUAUUCAGGGACUGAAAUGAUGGCUGCUGUCAGGGAGCAUGAUGGAAG
This 505-nucleotide long non-coding RNA is filed under the name Homo sapiens (human). RNAcentral describes it as "HSALNT0191952". The record is from RNAcentral. Lineage: Eukaryota; Metazoa; Chordata; Mammalia; Primates; Hominidae.